CGCGGCCUAUCAGCUUGUUGGUGAGGUAACGGCUCACCAAGGCGACGACGGGUAGCCGGCCUGAGAGGGUGACCGGCCACACUGGGACUGAGACACGGCCCAGACUCCUACGGGAGGCAGCAGUGGGGAAUAUUGCACAAUGGGCGCAAGCCUGAUGCAGCAACGCCGCGUGAGGGAUGACGGCCUUCGGGUUGUAAACCUCUUUUAGCAGGGAAGAAGCGAAAGUGACGGUACCUGCAGAAAAAGCACCGGCUAACUACGUGCCAGCAGCCGCGGUAAUACGUAGGGUGCAAGCGUUGUCCGGAAUUAUUGGGCGUAAAGAGCUCGUAGGCGGUUUGUCACGUCUGCUGUGAAAAUCCAAGGCUCAACCUUGGACUUGCAGUGGGUACGGGCAGGCUAGAGUGCGGUAGGGGAGGUGGGAAUUCCUGGUGUAGCGGUGGAAUGCGCAGAUAUCAGGAGGAACACCAAUGGCGAAGGCACAUCUCUGGGCCGUAACUGACGCUGAGGAGCGAAAGCGUGGGGAGCGAACAGGAUUAGAUACCCUGGUAGUCCACGCCGUAAACGGUGGGUGCUAGCUGUGGGCCACAUUCCACGUGGUCCGUGACGAAGUUAACACAUUAAGCACCCCGCCUGGGGAGUACGG
Molecule: ribosomal RNA, 643 nt
Filed under: uncultured Actinomycetes bacterium
Lineage: Bacteria; Bacillati; Actinomycetota; Actinomycetes
Description: bacterial SSU rRNA
Rfam family: Bacterial small subunit ribosomal RNA
Source: RNAcentral